RNAcentral lists this non-coding RNA (554 nucleotides) under Homo sapiens (human). The record is from RNAcentral. Lineage: Eukaryota; Metazoa; Chordata; Mammalia; Primates; Hominidae.
GGGACUGCCUGUAAUAGCACUGGGAUUUUGCCUCCCAGCCAAAAUGCUCCAGGGUAGGCAGCAAAGAAGAAAGAGUGCGAUAUGAGGGUACAGUGAGUUUGGCAGUCCAAAUUCUGUUCUCUGCAGCCUGUUUUUGAGUAGUUGGUGAAUAAAGUCACCCGCCUACUUGUCUAAGCACAUGUGGGUGUGUAACUCAGUUCCUGGUUCUCGGUUCUAAAAACAGACUUCCAACUGGGAAACUUUUUGGGGGAAAUUAACUGGACACCUAUCUCGGAGGUUUAUUUUCUUGCAACCAGUGAAGUCGUCCUCCUCCCUUCCCUGGAUAACUCUUCAGUUUGACUGUCACUGUUCUGGUGUCAACUCCAGCGUCGGCACAGGCAGAAGGACUUCAGCUGCUGGUCUCAUUGGUUCCACUGCCAUUGAUAUGGGGGGGUGCAGAGGAGCACUCAUUGUCCAUGAUGGAGAUCCAGGACAGACUGGGGGACUCCGGGAAGAGGCUUUCUUGGGGAAGAGGACCCCAAAGGAGCAUACAGUUUGAACAUUUAUUCGCCUCC